AGUGACUUGAGGCGGCUGGUCACAUUGCAUCCACAGUCAGGAAGCAGAGAGCAAUGAGUGCUGGUGCUCAGCUCACUCCUUUUUAUUCAGUAUGGAACCUCAGUCUGUAGAAUGAUGCUGCUCACAGUUUAGGGUAGGUCUUACCAUCUCAACUAACCCAAUCUAGGAACUCCCUAGCGUUUUUCUAGAUACCCAUAGGUAUGUUUCCAUGGUGAUUCUAAAUUCCAUCAGGUUAACCGUCAAGAUGAACCAUCAGAAGAGCAUAGCUACCCACUCACAGGCUUUGAGACCAAUUGUAAAAUAAGCCCACAAAAGACAUGGAAGGGAUAAUGUACAGUGUCUACGAAAUGGCUCACUGGGAAGCCCACUAAGCCUCAUGUCAGUUUUCCAAAAAAGAAGUCCAAAUCUGCUUGGGGCACCACGCAAGAACACUUGCUCUGCCAGCCCUGAAUGUCCAGAAGAGCCGCCGUGAAUCCUCUCUUCCUAUUUAUCUCAGUGAUGAGUUCUCGGAGCCCUUGGUCUGCCAGUUCCAUUAUCUUUACCCGUCUCUGACAAAAGCGUAGCUGUGGGGAGAGAUAAUAUUUUCUUAAUCAAAUGAGCAUCAGUGAGCUCCAUGCGGCAGCUCCUGACACGUUUUUAAUGACUUGAUUCUUUGGUAGUUUCUCUUAGGAGAAAGCCUUCGGGUGUGAUAUGAAUAUGAAGGACUGUGCUGCAUUUAUUCAUCUUCUAUUUUCUUUUAACUUUAAGGGGUAGCUGUAGAAACUCCUGAACCUUUCGGCUUCCUACAUAGACAACAGAGAGAAGGAAUUUUAAUUAUUAAGAUGGUUUGAUCCAUUUCAACUUCCAAUUUGGAGCUUCAGGCAUAAAAACAAACAGCCCAGUGACAUUUUUGGUGUCACCAGGGCCGCUGCAGUACUGAAGCUCCGCUUGCGUCCAUGGCCUUGUGAAAGCAACUCGGAGGAAAGGACAGAAUUGCAAAAGGAAAAUGUCAACCACAAAAUCUGCCACAGCAGCCUCAGAGAAAUAAGGUAGUGCUUUGGAGAGAGAGAGUUGGAUGCGCUGCAGGAGGACUUCUCGGGAGCGCGGAAGGGAUGGCUGGCUUGGCCGUUAUGAGCAACUGCUGCUCUUGCAGAGGACCCGAGUUCAGUUCCCAACAUCCACGUCAGACGUCUCACAAUCAGCUAGUGACUGCAGCUCCGGGGCCUCAGAUAGCUUAAGUAAUUUACUCAAGAUAAUGUAAUUGAGAAGGAUCUGACUGGACCUCAGCUCCAAGACAUAGUCACAUUGCCAGAGACAGCCAGGUCCGUAGACGAGUGAUUCCAAGCCGUGUCCACUGACUGGCCACCAGGACUUACGUAGCCGGAAGAUGAAGCAGUACUUGCUGAGAAAUUCAUGACUCUACAUGACUACAUUGAUAAAGGAGAGAAAAAAAAACAAUGAGCUAAUAGGACAAGGGAAAACAAUAAAUUCCAAGAAUAUAGAAAGAGGAAAACCAUCACCUUGAAGAGGAAAGUGCCUGAGAAAUUAACAAAGCGGAGGAAAAGUUAAGGCGGAAAAAGCUGUUCUGGUUUGUUGCUCAGAAUAAUGUCUGAACACACAGCAUUUAUUUCCCCUCCCUCUGGAGAGGAUGUUAAGAUGCAGCUACAGGAAUGAGGAAGGACAAAAUCAGCAGCGAUGGAGAGAACCAGAAGGCACCACCCAUGGAUGAGCGAUCUUGAUAAGUUUAUGCAAGAUGAGAAGUGGGUAGGCACUGCUUCUGGGAGUGGAUGAAUAUUCCAAAGGGCCCUGCUGCUAAAAAACGGAGCUGCAUAAGUUACAACAAACAGAACUGCAAACACCUUGCCGAGAUCACAAAUCAGUGCGAGAAAUCUCUAAUAAGCCAAUGCAGAGGAAGGAAGGAGGAGGAAGAGAGGAAAAGCCAAAGUGAAAAAAGAAAAGUCACGGGUGUAGCCCCCUGGGUUCACAGCUGGCUCAGUGGCUGGCAGUUCCUUCUCCAGUGGCGUGCAUAGCAUCUUCCAGCAUUAUGAGAGCUGGCUAGUAGGAGAUGAAGCUGCCGGGUCAGCACAGGCUUGAUCUCUCCAUGUUCUAUGGCUCGAGUGUGUGACGUCAUCAGCAACAGAGUCUUACUGUCGAGUUCUGGAAGGUAACCAAGAACACUGACAACAGUCUUUAGUGUUUAGGGAUCUAUGUGACCUCCCUGGGGAACAACUC
Peromyscus maniculatus bairdii (prairie deer mouse) is the source of this 2211-nucleotide non-coding RNA. The record is from RefSeq and is a predicted model, not a curated record. Lineage: Eukaryota; Metazoa; Chordata; Mammalia; Rodentia; Cricetidae.